UGAGCUGUAGUUUAAUUAUAAGCAUUCCGUUUACGUUGGAAAGAUCACUAAGUGUUGGUGUAGCUUA
RNAcentral lists this transfer RNA (67 nucleotides) under Caridina sp. FB-20. Its description in RNAcentral is "tRNA-Val". The record is from RNAcentral. Lineage: Eukaryota; Metazoa; Arthropoda; Malacostraca; Decapoda; Atyidae.